AAUCGGAUGAUACGGAUUAAAAGGGAAUCGGGUGAAAAUCCCGGACAGUCCCGCUGCUGUGAAGCUCUAUUUCAACAUUCUGAAACUUACUAUUGCCACUGGUCUAUAAGUUAUAAACCGGGAAGGCUUCAGGAUGGGAGUCAGUCAGAAGACCUGCCGUUCGUUAA
This 167-nucleotide non-coding RNA is filed under the name Parabacteroides massiliensis. Lineage: Bacteria; Pseudomonadati; Bacteroidota; Bacteroidia; Bacteroidales; Tannerellaceae. The record is from RNAcentral.